UUACGGCCACAUCACGUUGAAACAUUGGUUCCCGUACGAUCAGCGAUGUUAAGCAACGUCGAACCAGGUCAGUAAUUUGAUGAGUGACCGAUUGGGAAUACCAGGCGCUGUAAU
Molecule: non-coding RNA, 114 nt
Organism: Acanthosepion pharaonis
Lineage: Eukaryota; Metazoa; Mollusca; Cephalopoda; Sepiida; Sepiidae
Source: the annotation of a GenBank genome assembly